GGCGAACGCUGGCGGCGUGCUUAACACAUGCAAGUCGAACGGAAAGGCCCUGCUUUUGUGGGGUGCUCGAGUGGCGAACGGGUGAGUAACACGUGAGUAACCUGCCCUUGACUUUGGGAUAACUUCAGGAAACUGGGGCUAAUACCGGAUAGGAGCUCCUGCUGCAUGGCGGGGGUUGGAAAGUUUCGGCGGUUGGGGAUGGACUCGCGGCUUAUCAGCUUGUUGGUGGGGUAGUGGCUUACCAAGGCUUUGACGGGUAGCCGGCCUGAGAGGGUGACCGGCCACAUUGGGACUGAGAUACGGCCCAGACUCCUACGGGAGGCAGCAGUGGGGAAUAUUGCACAAUGGGCGGAAGCCUGAUGCAGCAACGCCGCGUGCGGGAUGACGGCCUUCGGGUUGUAAACCGCUUUCGCCUGUGACGAAGCGUGAGUGACGGUAAUGGGUAAAGAAGCACCGGCUAACUACGUG
This 468-nucleotide ribosomal RNA is filed under the name uncultured bacterium. Its description in RNAcentral is "partial 16S ribosomal RNA". It matches the Rfam family "Bacterial small subunit ribosomal RNA", at positions 28 to 507 of the family's 1533-position model. The record is from RNAcentral.